This 13606-nucleotide long non-coding RNA is filed under the name Triticum aestivum (bread wheat). RNAcentral's name for it is "long non-coding RNA (TAES_LNC016403)". The record is from RNAcentral. Lineage: Eukaryota; Viridiplantae; Streptophyta; Magnoliopsida; Poales; Poaceae.
AUUAGAAUGUUGUUAUUGAUGAUGCCAUGUCACUACUCUAAUUUAUUUUCAUGUCAUCGUUAUAAAAUGCUAUGAUGAUGGUAAUGCACUGUGGAUAUGUUAGUACUUGGUAUUGUCAUGUUCUUUAUGUUGUAAGUGUAAGGGCAUAUUUAUCCCUAAGUGUUUUGGUGAUUGAUGACAAUACUCGUGCGGACUAAUCGUGUGCCUUGAGUCCCACAGAUACUUCAUCAUUAGGCACAAGACGAUUCGGUGCCCCUCGGAGACUAGUGAAGCCGGCGUUGUUCUACGUUUCUCUUUGGUGGAGUUGAGUCGUAGGAGAGCCGUACUAUUAAGAGGGGGUCCGCGUCGGAAAGGUAGGGUGGAAUCACACGUACACUAGCCCCUCCUUUCCUUGCACUUUGGAGCUACCCUUCGUUAUCAUAGUUGUGCGAAAAACUGACGACUACUGCUGUACUUGCGAUAGUACCGCAAGUACACGCGGUAGUACCGCGACAGGUCACGGUAGUACCGCCCCUCUGGCGCGGUAGUACCGCGGUACCUUGGCCUAGUGCCGCUCCAGUGCGGUAGUAGGGGCGGAUGUAAUUUUUUACAUCCGUGCCCCUCACGGUAGUACCGCUCCUCUGGUGCGGUAGUACCGCCGCACUCUGGCCUAGUGCCGCUCCGGUGCGGUAGUAGGGGCGGAUGUAAUUUUUUACAUCCGCGGCACCCACAGUAGUACCGCUCGUCCUGCGCGGUAGUACCGCGGGGGCCCACGGUAGUACCGCUCCUUUGGAGUUGUAGUACCGUGGCCCUUCUGCCUAGUACCGCUGCGUCGCGGUAGUAGGCGCGGAUGUAAUUUUUUACAUCCGUGCCUACCACGGUAGUACCGCGCCUUGCAGGCGGUAGUACCGCGUCGGGUUUUUGCACCACCCUAGUUUCUGCGGAAGUAGGCACGGAUGAAAUUUAUUUCGUCCGCGCCCUUCCCAGGCCGUGACCCUCCUGCCUUGCGGUAGUACCGCAAGGGGGAGCGGUAGUACCACGCCAGCGGUAGUACCGCUUCUAGCUCAGGCUUGUUCCGGCCUGUGCAGCUGCCACGGUAGUACCGUGAUCACACACGGUAGUACCGCGCGGCGUCGCAGUAGUACCGCUCCCUUGGAGCGGUAGUACCGUGAGUCGCGGGCAGAACUAGUGGAUAACGGUUGGAUCUUUUCCCCGACUAUAUAAGGGAUGUCUUCUACCUCUAGUUGACUACCUCUUCCACCUCUAAGCUCCAUUGUUGCUCCAAGCUCCAUUUUCGCUCGAUCUCUCUCCCUAGCCAAUCAAACUUGUUGAUUUGCUCGGGAUUGGGUGACAAGGGCCCGAUCUACACUUCCACCAAAGGAUAUUUGAUUCCCCCCACUUAUCCCUUGCGGAUCUUGUUACUCUUGGGUGUUGAGCACCCUAGACGGUUGAGGUCACCUCGAAGCCAUACUCCAUUGUGGUGAAGCUUCGUGGUGGUGUUGUUGUUGGGAGCCUCCGAUUGUUGUGGAGAUUGCCCCAACCUUGCUUGUAAAGGUUCGGUCGCCGCCUUCAAGGGCACCAAUAGUGGAAUCACGGCAUCUCGCAUCGUGUGAGGGCGUGAGGAGAAUACGGUGGCCCUAGUGGCUUCUUGGGGAGCAUUGUGCCUCCACACCGCUCUAACGGAGACGUACUUCCCCUUAAAAGGAAGGAACUCCGGUAACACAUCCUCGUCUCCACCGUCUCCACUCUUGGUUAUUUCGUGCCUUUACUUUCGCAAGCUUACUUAUUGUUACAUCUCUUGCUUGCUUGCUUGCUAGUUGUUAUUGCAUCAUAUAGGUUGCUCACUUAGGCCCCGUUUGAUAACUUUGCAUUUCCUAAGUAUUUCAAGAAUACUGCAGUUUUUCCAAAUACCAUGGUUUUAAUUACUGUGAGCUGUUUGGCCUCCACAAAAAACUGCAAUAUUUAUACCACAGUUUUCCCAAAAACACAGUAUUUCCUCUGCAUAAAAAAAAGACCUCCAGACCUCUUUUUUUUAAACUGAGCAUGCGAGAAAAACGAGCCGGUCACUAUCUUUCUUUCUUGUUCACUCCUGAGCUGCAGCCGCUGCUCUCUCGUUGCUAGAGAUCAAAAAUGGUGAGUACGACUGGGCAGACCUUGCUCAAGAAUACCGGCUGUGAUAAUACGCCUUCUGCAGCCUAGUGAAAAUUCCAGUCACCUCGGCUCCUAUUUUUCUCUGUGCGAGUGUGGCGGUGCCAGCCAGACGACGGCACGUCGAGUCAUCUCGGCAUAACUAGCGCUGUGCACAGCAGUUCGAUUUUCUCCUCAUCUUUCGUAAGUUAGGUAGCUAAGAGAAAACAGCUAGCUAGUAACAUUUACGUUGAUAUGCAACAUUAGCCAAACAGCUCAAAGUAUUCUCAAUACUCUAGAAUACAGUGAUAUCUGAAAAUUGUGGUAUCUUGUAUCUUCAUGCUAAAAUACUGUAGUUUUUUAAUACUUUGGUUUUUUAGCACUUUACUAUCAAACACAGCCUUAGUUGCAUAUCUAGACAACCUAUUUGUUGCAAAGUUUAAUUUGCUAAAGAAAAGCUUAAAAAUUGUUAGUUGCCUAUUCACCCCACCCCCUCUAGUCAACCAUAUCGAUCCUUUCAAUUGGUAUCAGAGCCUCGUCUCUUUAUUAAGGACUUUACCGUCCGAAGAGUAUGGUUGACACCCACGAUGGUGUGGAGGAACACUCCAGUGUGAAUCCUAUCUCAUCUUCGGCCGAAGGGGGAGCCUCGGUCUCUCGUGAGGAGUUCAAUGUGGAUUUAGACACAUUGAAAACCUCCAUGACGGCCAAGGUUAAAAGCAUGUUUAAUGAUUUCUUAGAGGGACUUAAAUUAUCUACCGCACCUAUGAAAGUGGGUGAUCCUACUAACAAGGUGACGGGUGCUUUCUCCGACAAGGGGGAAGCUAACAAUGAAAAGAGCCCUUCUACUAGUGGUAGAAAUGGUACCGGCAUCUUUGCCCAUGUGGAACCCCCGGUCUAUGGAGGGCCUAUCCCCUCCACCCAUUUGAAUCAUGCCGGUCCACCUCCUAAGUAUGAAAAAGGUGUAGAUUUUGAUAAUUGGGUCUAUCACUUUAAGCGUCAUUUGAAACAUGUGAAUACUAACCUUUGGAGAGUCAUUGAAGAAGGUUUUUAUCCUCAUGACCCAAGCAACUUCACCCCUCGAGAAGCCGUGGACAAUCAAUUCAAUGAGAGUGCUCUCUUCAUCAUUCAAGAUGCAAUUCUUCCCGAAGAUCUCCCUCACCUUCGACCCCAUGUCGUGGCUAAAGAAGCAUGGAAAUGUGUUGAGGCCCUCUAUCGUGGAAGUGCUAGCAUUCAACGGUCCAACUGUGAAGUGGUGCAAGAUGAAGCCGACGAGUUUGCAAUGAAAGAAGAUGAAGAACCUCGUGAGCUCUUUCGAAGAGUGACCAAACUCGCGGUGGCUCUUCGAGAUCAUGGAAGCAAGGACACGGAUGACAAUUGGAUCAAGCGAAAGUUCCUCAAGGCCAUGAUGCCAUACAACAAAGCCAUGUCCUCCGUCAUUCAUCAACGACCGGACUUCCACACCAUGACCUCAAGUGAAGUGUUGGAUGAGUUCGUUGCAAUGAGCAUCUUGGACAAGACCACCGAAAACGCGGUGCUCCGUUCUCAAAGAGCUAAGAAGCCUAACCUUGCCUUGAAGGCCAAGCUCAUUGUCGAAGAAGAGGAAGAAGUGGAAGAUGAGGAAAGCAACCCCGAAGACACCAAGUUCGACUACCAUGAGCACAUGGCUCUUGCUUCAAGACAAUUUUGGAGCAAGAAGAGCUCAAGACCCAACUUCAACAAGAACAACUCAAGUGGCGUCAAGGGCAAGCAACGAGUUAGAACUUGCUUCAACUGUGGCAAUGUGAGCCAUUUCGUUGCGGAUUGUCCUUAUGAGAAGCGGGAAGACAAUGGUGGCAAGUUCAUUCGGAAAGACAAAGCCAAGUCCGUCCCCAACAAGAACAACUUUGCCAAGAAGACUCCCACUCGUGGGUUGGUGGUUCAAGAAGAAUACCAAGAGGAUGACGAUGAUGAUGAGAAUGAAGAAGCAACGGCCAUGGCAUCCAUUGCCAUUGCUACUCCUCGGGUGUCUCUCUUCGAAUCACCCAACGAAAACAUCACCGCUAGAUGCCUCAUGGCGAAGGCUUCAAACAAGGUAACCCCCAACAUCACAACCACCAUCAUUACUAAUCCCUCCGUGGAGGAUUGCAUUGAUGGACAUGUUGAGUCUAAUGAGGAAGUAAAUGAAUUUGAGUCCUUCAUGAGUAAGCUCAAGGGAAAGUCCAAGAAGCACUUUGUUGCUCUCUUGGAACAACUUGGUGAGGCCAAUGACAUGAUCGAGGCUCACGAAGAAACCAUCUCCAAGAUGGAAGGUCAUAGUCGUGACUAUGCCGAUGAGAUAUUGGAUCUCUCUAAUGCUCUUGAGGAAGAGCGUGUGCAUCGUUUGACUCUUGAGGAGUCACACAAUGAUGCCCAUGCUAAGUUAAAGAAAGAUCUUGAUCAUGCUCUUGUCAUGUCUCGUGUGCUAACUUCCGAGAAGGCUAAACUUGGGGUUGAUCAUGCUAGACUCAAAGAGGAGUUUGAGAUACUUGACAAGGCCCACAAGGUCUUAAAGGGUACUCAUGCUAGCCUCAAAGAGUCUCAUGCUCAACUCCAAGUUAAGCUAAUCAAGGAAAAAGCCACCUUUCCUCAUAUGGUAUUAAUUGAUAAUGCAUGUGCUACUAACCCUUGUUGUGAGCAUGUGCAUCUUGUGGAGGAAACUGCUAAGUUGAAGGAUCAACUUGAGAAGGGCCUUGUGACUUGCAUUCAAGGUGAGAAAAACCUCGACGACCUUUUGAGCAAUCAAAAGGAAGUUGUGGGCAAAGAAGGAAUUGGGUUUGCACCCAAGUCCAAGAGCAAGAAGAAGAAGAACAACAAGGCCAAUCGUCCUCCUCCCCUCAAACAAACGUUUGUGAAAGAAGGAGACGGAGCCUCCAAGAAGAAGAAGGAGAAAGUGAAGGAAGUUGAUGUCCAAAAGGGCAAGAACGUUUCCUCAAACAAAGCCAGCGACUUUAACCCUUCAUAUGUGUUGUGCCGUGCUAGUGAUGGACAUGUUUAUGCUAAAUUUGUUGGUUCUCCUUAUGAGUACAUUGAAUGGUCUAUUUGGGUUCCCAAGGCCCUUGUUACUAACUUCAAAGGACCCAUUACUAAAUGGGUACCUAAAACCAAGCAUUGAUCUCGUGUAGGUGUUUGCUUCCGGUGGGGGAUCAUGGUUGCUCGAUAGUGGAGCAACAAAUCAUAUGAUCGGGAGCAAGGACUUGGUGGUGGAUGUGCAAGAGAUUCCAUCUAUGCCCACCAAUGUCGAGUGGGGUGAUGCAUCACAUUCUAAGGUAUUGGGUCUCGGCAAGGUUGUCAUCUCUCAUGAUCUAACGAUCGAGAAAGUCAUGCUUGUUGAGUCCCUUGCAUUCAAUUUACUUUCCGUUCGUCAACUUGCACUCAUGGGCUUUGCCACAUUCUUUGAUAUUGAUACCGUGGCCCUCUUGUGGAGCAAGACUCUUAAAGUAGCCUUUGUUGGGCAUGUCGAGAACGGUCUCUAUGUGGUUAACUUUUCGGAGCAACCCACUAAGACCGCGACAUGCCUAAUGGCUAAAGUUGACGUGGGAUGGCUUUGGCAUCGCCGUUUAGCCCACGUCAAUAUGAGAUCUUUGCAAAGUCUCCUCAAGGGGGGACCAUGUUCGUGGACUAACAAAUGUGAGUUUUGCCAAAGAUCGUGCUUGCAGUGCUUGUAUCGAAGGAAAGCUUCAUGAAAAGGCUCACCCUCCCUCAACCAUCAUCUACUCGAAGAGACCCUUGGAGCUCCUUCACAUGGAUCUCUUUGGGCCUCCAUCUUUUGAUAGUCUUGGAGGAAGAAAGUAUUUCUUGGUGAUUGUGGAUGAUUAUUCAAGAUACACUUGGGUAUACUUCUUCAAGAGGAAGAGUGAGACCCAACAAACCGUCAUCAACUUUGCAAAUGAAGCUCAACGUCAACAUAAUGCAAAAAUCUUGACAAUAAGAAGCGACAACGGCACCGAGUUCAAGAACUACACCUUGGAUGAGUUUCUUAGUGACGAGGGGAUCAAGCAUCAAUAUGCGGCACCUUAUACCCCUCAACAAAAUGGUGUUGCGGAGAGGAAGAACCGGAUGUUGAUGGAUGCGGCAAGGACCAUGAUGGCGGAGUUCAAGUCUCCAUACAACUUUUGGGUCGAAGCCAUCAACACCGCAUGUCAUGUAUCCAAUCGGCUCUAUCUUCGCAAAGGCUUGAACAAGACUCCUUAUGAGAUCCUCACCGGCAACAAGCCCAACCUCAAGUACUUCCGGGUGUUCAGUUGUAAGUGUUUCAUUCUCAAGAAAGGUGUUCGGUUGUCUAAAUUUGAAGCUAGAGCUCAUGAGGGCAUAUUUGUUGGUUAUGCUACAAACUCCCAUGCUUACCGUGUCCUCAACAAGUCCACCGGACUCAUUGAGGAGACGUGUAACGUGGAGUUUGACGAAAAUAACGGCUCCCAAGUGGAGCAAAGUGGUACUUGUGAUAUAGGUGAUGAAAUUCCUCCCCAAGCCAUAAGAAGAAUGGGUAUUGGUCACAUCCUACCCAUUGAGGAACCCCUUGUGGCCGAAGGAGAAGGACAAUGCUCUACUCAAGUAGAGCCAUCACCUCAUCAAGACCCACACGCUUCCGAAGAACAACGUGAAGGCCCUCAACCUCGUGAACAAGACCAAGGGCAAGAUCUACCUCAAGACGAUGAUGAACCACUAAAUGAUGCCCAAGGUCAAGUUCUCCCCCUCGAGCUAGUUCAAGAUCAAGAUCAACCUCAAGAUCAAGAACAAGCUCAAGACGACGCUCAAGAUCAUCAAGUCAACCCUCCUCCUUCCACACCCGAGGAGGAAUUAGAGCGUCGUGCCGCGAAGAUUGCUUCCAAGCUCACCAACCAAGGCCAUCUCAUGGAAAAUGUGGUUGGAAGCCUUCGUAAAGGGGUAAGCACUCGUAGACAAUUGGCAAACUAUUGUGAACAUCACGCGUUUGUCUCUUGUGUUGAACCCCAAAAGGUCUAUGAGGCGCUCGAAGACCCGGAUUGGCUCAAUGCCAUGCAUGAAGAACUCAACAACUUCGAGUACAACAAGGUGUGGAGAUUGGUGCCAAGACCUUCCGGGAACCACAAUGUCAUUGGGACCAAGUGGAUCUUCAAGAACAAGCAAGAUGCCCAUGGGAACAUCAUUCGCAACAAGGCAAGAUUGGUAGCACAAGGCUACUCCCAAGUCGAGGGUAUCGACUACGGUGAAACCUUCGCCCCCGUUGCUCGUCUUGAAUCCAUUCGUUUGUUGAUUGCUUAUGCUUCCCAUCACAACUUUAAGUUGCAACAAAUGGAUGUGAAAAGUGCUUUUCUUAAUGGUCCCAUUAAUGAGUUGGUCUAUGUCAAGCAACCCCCCGGGUUCGAGGAUCCCUACUUUCCGGAUCAUGUGUAUCAACUCGAUAAGGCACUCUAUGGCCUUAAACAAGCCCCACGUGCGUGGUAUGACCACCUUACCGAGUUGCUACAAGAUCGUGGUUUUGAAGUAGGGCUAAUCGACCCCACUCUUUUUACUAAGAAGGUCAACGGGGAGUUGUUUGUAUGCCAACUAUAUGUUGAUGAUAUUAUCUUUGGUUCCCCUAACAAAGCUUUCAAUGAAGAAUUUGCCGCUCUCAUGACCUCCAAGUUUAAGAUGUCUUCGAUGGGAGAGUUGAAGUUCUUCCUUGGUUUCGACAUCAAGCAAAGAAGAGAAGGAACCUUCAUCAACCAAGCCAAAUAUACUCAAGACAUGCUUAAAAGAUUCAAGCUAAGUGAUGUCAAGCCGGCUACUACACCAAUUCCUACCAAGUGCCAACUUGACAUCGAUCCCAAUGGUAAAGCGGUGGAUCAAAAGGUAUAUCGCUCCAUGAUUGGAUCCUUGCUUUACAUUUGUGCAUCUAGGCCGGAUAUCAUGUUGAGUGUGGGGAUGUGUGCACGUUUUCAAGCCUCGCCAAAGGAAAGUCACUUUGUGGCAGUCAAGCGAAUCUUUCGAUAUUUGGCUCAUACCCCAAACUUUGGCUUAUGGUACCCAAGAGGAGCAAACUUCAAGCUUGAAGGUUUCACGGAUUCCGAUUGGGCGGGAGACAAAGUGGAUAGGAAGUCCACUUCCGGAGGGUGCCAAUUUCUUGGUUGCUCUUUGGUAAGUUGGUCUUCCAAGAAGCAAAGUUGUGUGUCUCUCUCGUCCACCGAAGCGGAGUAUGUGGCGGCCGGUAGUUGUUGUGCUCAACUUCUAUGGAUGAGGCAAACUUUAAAGGAGUACGGUGUCACUUGUGACAAAGUGCCUCUUUGGUGUGAUAAUGAAAGUGCCAUCAAGAUUUCCCUCAACCCGGUGCAACACUUCAAGACGAAGCACAUUGAGAUUCGGUAUCACUUCAUUCGGGAUCACAUCAGGCGAGGGGAGAUCGAGCUCAAGUAUGUCAACACUCACGAUAACGUUGCAGAUAUUUUCACGAAGCCAUUGGAUGAAGCAAGAUUUCGCGAGUUAAGGCAUGAGCUAAAUAUCAUUGAUUUGAGCAAUGUGACUUGAACCCGUGCACCCCCCCCCCCACCACACUCAAUUUGUUGUCUAGUUUAGAUGUAGGCAUGGACAUAGGGGGAGUGUUGUUCUCUCAAUGAACUCUCCCUCCCCCCAUUAUGCAUAAAUAGAUUACCUCUUUCACAUUAGCCAUUUUUGAUGGUACUUGUGCUUCAAGGAUGAGUUUUGGUCAUGGGCCCAAGGAUAAUUCUUCGCGGUGCCAUACCAUCCAACUCAAACAUAGGUGGCUUCGGCCACCGCCCUCUCUCCUCGAGAGACCUUGUCACUUAGGGUUUUUACUGUUGUUCCUUGCGUUUGUGCUGCUUUGGGUUGUGUCUGUUUUUUUUUGGUGCAUAGGCAUGUUUUCUCUCUUGUUUGAAACCCUUGGUGGCGUUAGCUCACGGUACUACCGCGGUCGGCCACGGUACUACCGCGGCCAAUCACGGUACUACCGCGAUGGGAGCAUGGUACUACCGCACCCAAGCGGCAGUAAUUUUUUUACUGCCGCCUGAUGGAGCAGUACUACAGCCACGGCGCGGUACUUCCGCCCGGGCGGUACUACCGCGAUGACCCGCGGUACUACCGCGCCGGUUCGGGCGCAUGGAGAUAAGGUCGGGCAGGGGGAGUUCUAACUCCCCCAUACCCAUUCGUCCCCUUCUCUCCACAUCGCCCGUUCCUCUCUCAAGCCCACGAACGGAGCCGGCGUUCGUCGCCGGAUCUCCUCCACCGGCUACCCUCCCGUGAUUCCGUCCGGUGGGAUCGUUCCCCACCCCGUGCUCUUGCUAUGGACCAAGGUUUUUUCCAAAUCCUUCUCCGUUUAGAUUGUUUUUGGUUCUUCUAGGUUUUGGGGAAGGCUUAUGUGUUCUUGAGGUUCUUAGUCUAGAUCUCUGCAAGAGUAGGAUGAACGAGUGUGGUAUUGCAUAGGAUUUACACUUGUAUUGUUGUCUUGCACUAGAUCUGAUCACCGUAGCACCGCCAUGGCUUCGCGGGUCUUUUUCAGAUUCAAAUCCGCUAGAUCCGACGCGGCGCGGUACUACCGCCCGUAGGGAGCAGUACUACCGCUCCCGCGGUACUACCGCCCCUAGAGCGCGGUACUACCGCGCGCCGUGCGGUACUAAAGCCUUACUUCUGCCCCAGCCACGGUACUACCGUGACCCCUCACGGUACUACCGCGUCUGGAGCUGUACUAAGACUUUAGUAUCGCACCCCAUGGCAGUUCUACCGUCGCUCACAUCUAUCGCAUGCCAACUUUCUCGUUUAUCUUCUAUGGGUUUAUGUGCUGUCUUAUAGCCUUUGCAUUGAUCCUUUUCGAUUUGUUUUGGUGCUUUGCGUGUGUGUUUUAGGUGGUGGCUCUCGCCGGCCCAAUCCCGUUCGUGACACUGGUUCCAAGCGUCUGCGCAACCCAGGAGAAGUUCCCGAGGGAUCAUCUGCAUCGAAGCGCAAUGUCAAGUCCACCGCCAGCAAGCACAAGGAGCCCGCCAGGGGCAUGGAUGAGAUAGGUGCUCAAGAGUAUGUCCGUCUCAGGCAGCUUCACCCAUACGCGACCCCACGCUCCACUAUUAGAGGGUGUGAACUGUUCUGGAACAAGACUCAAACCCAGAUUUACUUGGAUGUCAUCAAGAACAAGCAGAAUACCUAUGUGGAGGUGAAGUGGAUUGAGAUGCACCACAUGAGGAAGGACAAGUUUCGUGACUACUUUGGGGAGGCUCUGGACUUGGUGGAGCAGUUUGGAAUUGAGCAUGUGAUCUCGUUCCACAUGGACUAUGACCCUGAGAUCAUCUGUCAGUUCUUUGCCUCAGUGUACUUUCACACCAAUGAUGAGAGGAGGAUGAUGUGGAUGACCAAUGGCCGCCAGCUGUCUGCUACCUGGAAGGAGUUCAUGGAUUUGCUUCAGGUUGCUGAUGAUGGACUUGACACUCCUGUUGGUGUUCGCCCUCACGGCAAUGCUGACUCUGCUGACAAGGACAAGCUCACUCCGUUCAUGGUUGAGAAGAAGCUCGCCACUGGCAAGAUAAUCUUGGUUCUCAACCCGUUUCUGGAUAUCAUGUACCGCAUGUUUCGCAACUCUCUGUUCCCACGCAUCGGUGACAAAGACAUGGUUCAUGCCUACAUGGUGGACAUGAUGCUUCUGUGCGAGGAGGCUCGCUCGUCUCAGACUCAGCCACUUGAUAUCUCUCACAUCAUGUGGUGUGAGCUUCGGUUUGCUGUGUUCAACCGCAAGGUGCCUAUUUAUGGACCCUACCUGUUUCUGCUGAUUUCGAAGACUUGGGAGAAGAUGUACCCCGGGGAGGAGUUCCUGGCUCCAGAUUGGAUUCGCCAUGAGCCCAUUUGUCUGAGGGUCAAACCCAACUGGGCCAACACCGCUACUCGUGCUGAGGCGUCUGCUGCUAGGGCUGCUGCUGUUGAUGAGGAUGAUGCUGAAGCUGAGGAUGUUGCUGGGGGCCGUUCUGCUAGGCCUACUCAGAGUGACUCUAGGCCAUCUUGGGCCAAGAGGCUGAAGGAUAAGAUGAAGUCUCUUUUCUGCAUGCAAGCCAAGGGACAGUACCGGGCUCACGUGGAGUCCAAGGAGAGUCGUCGCCGGCACAACAAGAUCUUGCAGCUCUAUGGCGAGGAUGUGUCUGGCGGAUCUGAGGAGCGCAUCACUCCUGAGACCUAGUGGAUGGAGAAGCAAGGAUUCAAGUGGACUGAUUCUGAGGAGGAGGCCGAGGAGUCCAUUCCAGCUGCGGAGGAGUCUGACGAAGAGGAGUGGGACAGUUUCUCGGCUUGAGCCACCCCUUUUGUGUUUAGGUGUCCUCUCUGCCUUUUUGGCGUCUCGAUGCCAAAGGGGGAGAGAGUGUAGGGAUUUGGAUUUGCGAGUUUGUGUGUUUGCCAGUUGAACCCUUUGCUGCUUUUAUCGUUUGAACCUUGGUUAUCUUAUCUCAUAUGGUGUAAGACAUAUGCACUCUAUCUAUCCUAGCUAGCUUGUGUUAUAUUGUGCUACUUUCAUGCUAUGCUAGGCUUAUUAUCAUGUCUUGGUCUCUAAAAUAUAGGGGGAGUGUUGAUCCUAGUUUGUGUGCCAUGCAGUCCAAAGCAUUCAUAUAUAGUGCACACAUCUAGGGGGAGCCCCGUCUAUAUUUUAGAGGAGUGGGGUUUGCCACUGCUUUAUACAUAUCUUUUCUAUGUGCAAAUCCUGUGUUGUCAUCAAUACACCAAAAAGGGGGAGAUUGUAAGGGCAUAUUUAUCCCUAAGUGUUUUGGUGAUUGAUGACAAUACUCGUGCGGACUAAUCGUGUGCCUUGAGUCCCACAGAUACUUCAUCAUUAGGCACAAGACGAUUCGGUGCCCCUCGGAGACUAGUGAAGCCGGCAUUGUUCUACGUUUCUCUUUGGUGGAGUUGAGUCAUAGGAGAGCUGUACUAUUAAGAGGGGGUCCGCGUCGGAAAGGUAGGGUGGAAUCACACGUACACUUGCCCCUCCUUUCCUUGCACUUUGGAGCUACCCUUCGUUAUCAUAGUUGUGCGAAAAACUGACGACUACUGCUGUACUUGCGGUAGUACCGCAAGUACACGCGGUAGUACCGCGACAGGUCACGGUAGUACCGCCCCUCUGGCGCGGUAGUACCGCAGUACCUUGGCCUAGUGCCGCUCCAGUGCGGUAGUAGGGGUGGAUGUAAUUUUUUACAUCCGCGCCCCUCACGGUAGUACCGCUCCUCUGGUGCGGUAGUACCGCCGCACUCUGGCCUAGUGCCGCUCCGGUGCGGUAGUAGGGGCAGAUGUAAUUUUUUACAUCCGCGGCACCCACGGUAGUACCGCUCGUCCUGCGCGGUAGUACCGCGGGGGCCCACGGUAGUACCGCUCCUUUGGAGUUGUAGUACCGUGGCCCUUCUGCCUAGUACCGCUGCGUCGCGGUAGUAGGCACGGAUGUAAUUUUUUACAUCCGUGCCUACCACGAUAGUACCGCGCCUUGCAGGCGGUAGUACUGCAUCGGGUUUUUGCACCACCCUAGUUUCUGCGGAAGUAGGCACGGAUGAAAUUUAUUUCAUCCGCGCCCUUCCCAGGCCGUGACCCUCCUGCCUUGCGGUAGUACCGCAAGGGGGAGCGGUAGUACCGCGCCAGCGGUAGUACCGCUUCUAGCUCAGGCUUGUUCCGGCCUGUGCAGCUGCCACGGUAGUAUCAUGAUCACACACGGUAGUACCGCGCGGCGUCGCGGUAGUACCGCUCCCUUGGAGCGGUAGUACCGUGAGUCGCGGGUAGAACUAGUGGAUAACGGUAGGAUCUUUUCCCCGACUAUAUAAGGGAUGUCUUCUACCUCUAGUUGACUACCUCUUCCACCUCUAAGCUCCAUUGUUGCUCCAAGCUCCAUUUUCGCUCGAUCUCUCUCCCUAGCCAAUCAAACUUGUUGAUUUGCUCGGGAUUGGGUGACAAGGGCCCGAUCUACACUUCCACCAAAGGAUAUUUGAUUCCCCCCACUUAUCCCUUGCGGAUCUUGUUACUCUUGGGUGUUGAGCACCCUAGACGGUUGAGGUCACCUCGAAGCCAUACUCCAUUGUGGUGAAGCUUCGUGGUGGUGUUGUUGUUGGGAGCCUCCGAUUGUUGUGGAGAUUGCCCCAACCUUGCUUGUAAAGGUUCGGUCGCCGCCUUCAAGGGCACCAAUAGUGGAAUCACGGCAUCUCGCAUCGUGUGAGGGCGUGAGGAGAAUACGGUGGCCCUAGUGGCUUCUUGGGGAGCAUUGUGCCUCCACACCGCUCUAACGGAGACGUACUUCCCCUUAAAAGGAAGGAACUCCGGUAACACAUCCUCGUCUCCACCAUCUCCACUCUUGGUUAUUUCAUGCCUUUACUUUCGCAAGCUUACUUAUUGUUACAUCUCUUGCUUGCUUGCUUGCUAGUUGUUAUUGCAUCAUAUAGGUUGCUCACUUAGUUGCAUAUCUAGACAACCUAUUUGUUGCAAAGUUUAAUUUGGUAAAGAAAAGCUUAAAAAUUGUUAGUUGCCUAUUCACCCCCCCCCCUCUAGUCAACCAUAUCGAUCCUUUCAG